Long non-coding RNA from Ostrea edulis (European flat oyster), 812 nucleotides. RefSeq lists it as uncharacterized. The record is from RefSeq and is a predicted model, not a curated record. The transcript is spliced from 3 exons. NCBI's taxonomy places the organism in Eukaryota, Metazoa, Mollusca, Bivalvia, Ostreida, Ostreidae.
CAGAGACUGUGUAGAAGAAAUAACGUGUGAACAUGAAGCACACAACCGUCGCUUUAGUCGUGAUCUGUGUCUUAAUUAAAGAAGAUUCAUCAACAUCAAAACUUACUGAUGACUCCGUUUACCUGAUCAAGAUAUAGAGCUCACGGUGGGUGUGACCGGUCAACAGGGGAUGUUUACUCCUCCUAGGCACCUGAUCCCGCCUAUGCUGUUAAUAUCUUCACGUGGAGCAAAGAUAGGGGAUUGGUAGAACAUUUACUCGAUCCACCAAUGUGUCCUUUGUAGGGGUUAUUGUGAAGUUUAGGAAUCCGGAAUAAUCACGGUAGUUUCUUAUUCAUCCAUCCCAUUGACUGGGAUAUUAAAGUAAUACAAGCUGUAACUGACGGUAAAUAAAUUAAAAAACAAAAGAACGAAUGUUUAAGAUAUUUUUGAUUGAAAAUAUAUAACUUAAUAGAAUCAGAGUGAAUCCGAAGUAAUAAACCCGUCAAAUCAGCAGAAGAUGUCAAUUAAUGAAUCAUUAUUAUACUAUCAGCAAUUCCUGCUCGUAAUCUCCCAUAUGCAUUGACCUCGGAGAUCAACAAUUCCGAAAAGAACGAAAUAGAAACACAGAGCACGUGCCAGAUUUGUAAACAAUUUAACAUGCCAAUUUUAUUAAAAAUUCACUAUCAAAAUAUCAUUUGAGUGGUACAUUUGCGUAAUUAUUAAUAUCUUACAGUUAUAGUACAUAUACUUCUUGUCAUUUGUGAAACGAUGUAAUAUUUAAAACAAACGAAACGUGUAGUUACUCGCGUCAGUAUCCAUCUUAGUAUAAGACC